GACGAACGCUGGCGGCGUGCUUAACACAUGCAAGUCGAACGGAUAGGCCCUGCUUUUGUGGGGUGCUCGAGUGGCGAACGGGUGAGUAACACGUGAGUAACCUGCCCUUGACUUUGGGAUAACUUCAGGAAACUGGGGCUAAUACCGGAUAGGAGCUCCUGCUGCAUGGUGGGGGUUGGAAAGUUUCGGCGGUUGGGGAUGGACUCGCGGCUUAUCAGCUUGUUGGUGGGGUAGUGGCUUACCAAGGCUUUGACGGGUAGCCGGCCUGAGAGGGUGACCGGCCACAUUGGGACCGAGAUACGGCCCAGACUCCUACGGGAGGCAGCAGUGGGGAAUAUUGCACAAUGGGCGGAAGCCUGAUGCAGCAACGCCGCGUGCGGGAUGACGGCCUUCGGGUUGUAAACCGCUUUCGCCUGUGACGAAGCGUGAGUGACGGUAAUGGGUAAAGAAGCACCGGCUAACUACGUG
Molecule: ribosomal RNA, 468 nt
Filed under: uncultured bacterium
Lineage: Bacteria
Description: partial 16S ribosomal RNA
Rfam family: Bacterial small subunit ribosomal RNA
Source: RNAcentral